ACCGGACUCCUACGGGAGGCAGCAGUGGGGAGUAUUGCACAAUGGGGGAAACCCUGAUGCAGCGACGCCGCGUGAGCGAUGAAGUAUUUCGGUAUGUAAAGCUCUAUCAGCAGGGAAGAAAAUGACGGUACCUGACUAAGAAGCCCUGGCUAACUACGUGCCAGCAGCCGCGGUAAUACGUAGGGGGCAAGCGUUAUCCGGAUUUACUGGGUGUAAAGGGAGCGUAGACGGUCCUGCAAGCCAGAUGUGAAAGCCCGGGGCUCAACCCCGGGACUGCAUUUGGAACUGUAAGGCUAGAGUGUCGGAGAGGCAGGCGGAAUUCCUAGUGUAGCGGUGAAAUGCGUAGAUAUUAGGAGGAACACCAGUGGCGAAGGCGGCCUGCUGGACGAUGACUGACGUUGAGGCUCGAAAGCGUGGGGAGCAAACAGGAUUAGAUACCCCAGUAGU
This 447-nucleotide ribosomal RNA is filed under the name uncultured bacterium. Its description in RNAcentral is "bacterial SSU rRNA". It matches the Rfam family "Bacterial small subunit ribosomal RNA", at positions 330 to 794 of the family's 1533-position model. The record is from RNAcentral.